RNAcentral lists this transfer RNA (73 nucleotides) under bacterium. RNAcentral's name for it is "tRNA-Ala". It matches the Rfam family "tRNA". From Rfam's summary of the family: Transfer RNA (tRNA) molecules are approximately 80 nucleotides in length. Their secondary structure includes four short double-helical elements and three loops (D, anti-codon, and T loops). The record is from RNAcentral. RNAcentral also lists the same sequence under 1 other name.
GGGGACGUAGCUCAGUUGGUAGAGCGCUUGAAUGGCAUUCAAGAGGUCAGGGGUUCGAUUCCCCUCGUCUCCA